RNAcentral lists this ribosomal RNA (317 nucleotides) under Rhipicephalus sanguineus (brown dog tick). RNAcentral's name for it is "partial 12S ribosomal RNA". The record is from RNAcentral. Lineage: Eukaryota; Metazoa; Arthropoda; Arachnida; Ixodida; Ixodidae.
CCUAUUAUUUAAGAGGUAAACAUUGUUAGUAAAUAAAAAUUACGAAAGCAAAAAAUUAUGGCGGUAUUUUAAGCUUUUCAGAGGAAUUUGCUCUUUAAUGGAUAAAACACCUAAAUCUUACUUAAAUUUGUUAAUUCAAUUUGUAUACCACUAUAAAAACAAUUAAUAACUUCAAUUGUUAAAAUUUAUUAAAUUAAGUUAUAUUAAGUCAAGGUGCAGUAAAAAUUUAAGAAUGAAGUGAAUUACAUUUCUUUUUAGAGAGAGAAAUUUAAAUAACAUUUAGGAUUUGAAAGUAAAAUUGAAAUAGAAUGUCAAUU